CCACUGCUAAUUUAUAACAAAUAGUGGGAUAUAUGUGAAUGAAACGGUACUGAAAAUUACAUUUCUGGCUUCUGAUCAUAGAUCAUUAAAUGUUCUUUCUAUUUGUGUUGAAAGACAAAGGAGUAACACGCACUGUUUGAUCUAUAGUAUUAUUUUUUCUUGGAUUGAAGAAUCUAGUGCAGACUGUCAGGGUAACACACCGGAGGGAUCUGAGAGACGAGAGGCAGCAACGACCACUGUAGGACAGGUGUCUUCCUCCAUGUGUCCUGAGGUUAACCCCAGUGCUCCCGAGAUGGGAACAGAAAUCUGUGAACCUGACAGCCUGGGUGAUGCGAGUAGAAAAGGUGUUUCAGAAAAUGCUGCCAAUCAGUCCACUGAAAAGCCUCUUCAAGAGGACUCUUCCUGUCAGACAUCUGCCUUACGUGAAAAGAAAGGUGGUGAAAGGGGCCAGGGGGACUCCAGUCCGAAAUCCAAGACUGGUCUUGUAGAAGGAACUGACACUCAGUCCACUCAACCGCCUCUUCAACAGAAGGACUGGGCUUCGAGAGAGGGAUCUGCCUGCCCUAAAGUGAAAGAUGCUGAAAAUGUCCAGGUGGACAGUGACAGAAAAGACAAGAGUAUUAGCUGUAAACAGGACAUUGAUAAAGAAAUCCAGCAAGGUUCUGACCAAAGAAACAAGAGUGGUAAGACCACCAUAAUAUAAAUGCAAUCUAAUGACUGUUUUCUUUGGAAUAUAUGAAUAGUGUUGUAAGGCGUGUAUAUUUUUUUAAUCUGUAUGAAGGUCUUUAUAUGCAUGGCUUAGUUUUGAGAUCGUUGGAUCAAUUGGACAGUUGGAUGGACCUUGAUUCAAAUGAUUGUAGGCUUUUUAUUUUACAUGUCAGACUUUGAAUUAUAUUUUUU
Molecule: long non-coding RNA, 900 nt
Filed under: Lepisosteus oculatus (spotted gar)
Lineage: Eukaryota; Metazoa; Chordata; Actinopteri; Semionotiformes; Lepisosteidae
Description: lncRNA (ENSLOCG00000023016.1)
Source: RNAcentral